RNAcentral lists this long non-coding RNA (713 nucleotides) under Helianthus annuus (common sunflower). Its description in RNAcentral is "hypothetical non coding rna". The record is from RNAcentral. Lineage: Eukaryota; Viridiplantae; Streptophyta; Magnoliopsida; Asterales; Asteraceae.
AUGUUUUGGCUAAUUUCUAUAUGUGAUGUAUUGAAAGAUACAUCCAUAUAUCAUUGUUAGAAAUUGCUGGAAAGGGUGAAAAACGAGCCAUAUCUCGAGAAAACUGAGCACCGAAAUACGUUCGAGGUACCGAGAGCUGAAUUGGCACAAAAUACUAGAUAAAUCACUUGGUGGCGUCGCGCGACCAGAAAAGAAGGGCCUCCCCGUGUGACGCUAGGAGUUUAUUGACCUUUGUUGACUUUUUCAAGCCCGCGUCACACGACCAUAAUAUCAAAUGCUCCUCGCGCGACGCGAGGAGCCCAUUUUCGCAGAAUGUUUUGUAGUCUGGCAGGGUUGUGUUAUGAAAUGAUAUAUACUGAUCACAAUUGAGAAAAGAACCCAUAACCCUACAAAUUAAAGAAGACUAUGGACGAAUUUUGAGCUCCGGAAAGUCAGAGAACGAAGAUCUUGAAGCAAGGAAUCAAUACGGUUGAAGAUCCAAGGCACGAGAACGAAGAAUAUCGGGUUCCUCUUCCCGUUUUCAUAGUUUUCUAUUGUUCAUCUUUUUACAAUGAAUCAAAUCUUUGAACUUUGUGCUUUAAUUGCUUUAACUAAGAUGUUAGGCUAAAACUCCAUAAACUACCUAGGUUAAAAUGAACAUAUGCUAAAGUUUUGAUUUUUAUCCGGAGUAUGAACUUGUUAUGGAUUUUCUAUUAAAGUAAAGACUUGGUUGC